Molecule: long non-coding RNA, 197 nt
Organism: Solanum verrucosum
Lineage: Eukaryota; Viridiplantae; Streptophyta; Magnoliopsida; Solanales; Solanaceae
Exons: 2
Source: RefSeq, a predicted model, not a curated record
CGUAUUGGCAGCUGUUCAAACUCCGAUGCUGACGCCAAUAUUUCCAGCAAGCCCUUCAAAUUUGUUUUGGAGGUCACAGAAGAGCUAAAACGCUCUAUUGUGGUGUAACUGAUAUAAUAAUAUGACGCUAUCAUACCGAGAUUCAAAGGUGAAAGCAAAAAUUCAUCCUCAACAGUGACACAUUUACUUGCCUCCAA